This 440-nucleotide ribosomal RNA is filed under the name uncultured bacterium. RNAcentral's name for it is "partial 16S ribosomal RNA". It matches the Rfam family "Bacterial small subunit ribosomal RNA", at positions 338 to 795 of the family's 1533-position model. The record is from RNAcentral.
CCUACGGGAGGCAGCAGUGGGGAAUAUUGCACACUGCGGGAAACCCUGAUGCAGCGACGCCGCGUGAGUGAAGAAGUAAUUCGUUAUGUAAAGAUCUAUCAGCAGGGAAGAAAAUGACGGUACCUGCGUGAGAAGCCCCGGCUCACUACGUGCCAGCAGCCGCGGUAAGACGGAGGGGGCAAGCGUUAUCCGGAUUUACUGGGUGUAAAGGGAGCGUAGACGGCAGUGCAAGUCUGGAGUGAAAGGCGGGGGCUCAACCCCCGGACUGCUCUGGAAACUGUACGGCUGGAGUGCAGGAGAGGUAAGUGGAAUUCGUGGUGUAGCGGUGAAAUGCGUAGAUAUUAGGAGGAACACCAGUGGCGAAGGCGGCUUACUGGACUGUAACUGACGUUGAGGCUCGAAAGCGUGGGGAGCAAACAGGAUUAGAUACCCCAGUAGUC